Rachicladosporium monterosium is the source of this 98-nucleotide non-coding RNA. The record is from the annotation of a GenBank genome assembly. NCBI's taxonomy places the organism in Eukaryota, Fungi, Ascomycota, Dothideomycetes, Cladosporiales, Cladosporiaceae.
GACUACAGUGGCACAAUUGGCUAGCGCGUGAGACUUUUAAGCAGCCCUGCUCUAAAGAUCAUCUCAAGGUUGAGAGUUCGAGCCUCUCCGCGGGAGCU